RNAcentral lists this small nucleolar RNA (143 nucleotides) under Ochotona princeps (American pika). Its description in RNAcentral is "Small nucleolar RNA SNORA74 (ENSOPRG00000022407.1)". Lineage: Eukaryota; Metazoa; Chordata; Mammalia; Lagomorpha; Ochotonidae. The record is from RNAcentral.
CCUAGCAGGAGACCACUGCCUAGGUUACAUUGUACCUAGGCAAGUGUUACACUGGUGGGAAAAAAGCAGCUAAUAGCUGGCAGGCAUUCUGGGCCUGGUUAAUGUCAAACUCAUGUUAGCUAUUACUAGUGUGCCUGCAUAGU